This 2263-nucleotide long non-coding RNA is filed under the name Salmo salar (Atlantic salmon). RNAcentral's name for it is "lncRNA (ENSSSAG00000080651.2)". The record is from RNAcentral. Lineage: Eukaryota; Metazoa; Chordata; Actinopteri; Salmoniformes; Salmonidae.
AAUCACCCGAUCUCAACCCAAUUGAGAUGGUUUGGGAUGAGUUGGACCACAGAGUGAAGGAAAAGCAGCCAACAAGUGCUCAGCAUGUGGGAACUCCUUCAUGACAAUUGGAAAAGCAUUCCUCAUGAAGCUGGUUGAGCGAAUGCCAAGAGUGUGCAAAGCUGUCAUCAAGGCAAAGGGUGGCUACUUUGAAGAAUCUAAAAUAUAUUUUGAUUUGAUUAACACUUUUUUGGUUACUACAUGAUUCCAUAUAUGUUAUUUCAUAGUUUUGAUGUCUUCACUAUUAUUCUACAAUGUAGAAAUAGUAAAAAAAAGAAUAAAGAAAAACCCUUGAAUGAGUACAUGUAGGUGUGUCCAAACUUUUGACUGGUACUGUAUAUAUCCAAAUCUCUGCUGACGCAGGCUACUAAAGGUGUCCGCAUGCUUUCCAGCCGAAACAGUUUGGAAGAAUUUGUGUAUAUGACGACAUUUUGUGAUGUUUGUUCAUUUUGGACUUCAGUAAGUUUUUUUUGGCUGUUCAGGCACACAGAAACAUUUCGAGGCAAGCCGAAGUCGGUAGCCGAAGUCUACGCCCAUUCAUCGGUGAUUGUUCAACAUUGUCCAGAGAGGAUGGCAGCCUGUCUCUCCCCUCUGGAGGAUGACCUGUCAUGUCCCAUCUGCUGUGAGAUCUUCACAGACCCAUCAUCCUCUACUGCAGCCAUAGCUACUGCAGGACCUGCCUGGAGGCCACCUGGAAGCAGGACGGGACCAAGGUCUGCUCUGUCUGCAGACAGACGUUUCCCGGCAACCCUGAGACCCUGCAGAGGGAGAAGCAGCGCACGGACAGCCAGCUGCCCAGAAAGAUGGCCAAAGAGGUGACCUCGCAUGGAGAACCCCCACAGGCUCCAAUGCGCCAAACACACUUCACAGGCCUAAACAAUGUGUGUGGCCUCCACUAACAUAAGCUUGGCUUGUUCUGCCUGGAGCGUGAGUGUGUGGAGUAUUUCUGAGCACGCAGGCCACAGUUUCUACUCUGUGAAGAAGGCUGCUACCCAGAGGGAGGAGCUCAGAACACCACUGACGGCCCUACAGAAUAAAAUGGCUGUCGUUGACAAGACCAAACCCUCCUGGGAGAAAAUGGCAUCUCACAUCGGGGCGCAGGCCCAGAAAACCGAGAUAAAAGAGGAAUUUGAGAGGCAGAGAGAAUAGCCAAGCUGAGGGAGGAAGAGGAGGAGAAGAUUAAAAGGAUGUCAUCUCUGUCUAAAAUAAUCAGGGAGGUAGAGGAGAAGCUGUCGGGUGAUGACACCGCAUUCCUGCAAAGCUACAAGACCGCGAAGAUGAAAGCAGAGAUUCUCCUCUUGACCCUCCGCUUGUCUCUGGAGCUCUGGUCGACGUGGCCAAACACCUGGGCAACCUUGGCUUAUAGGUCUAUCAGAAGAUACAGCGAAUUUUGGACUGCACACCUGUAGUUCUGGACCCAAACACAGCUGCAUGCUCUCUCCAUCUCUCAGAGGACCUUACCAGCCUAAGAAUGAAGACUGAGGAUAGGAGUCUUCCAGACAACCCAGAGAGGUUUAGUGGGUACUUAGACAUUCUGGGUUCAAAGGGAUUCACCUCAGGGAUUCACAGCUGGGAGGUGGAGGUGGGGGACAAUGACGACUGGUUAUUAGCGGUGGAAAAAGAGUCCAUUAGCAAGAAAAAUGCUUCUUAAAAAAGCUAAACAGUUAACUGUAGGUGUGCUUGAUGGUGUACCAGAGACAAUCAAGCAGAAGCUGCAGAGGAUCUAUGUUCAGCUAGACUUGGACAAAGGAAAGUUGUCCUUCUAUGCUAUUUCUGCUGUUUACGUUCGAUUACAUCACCUCCACACCUUUAACCUCACAUUUACAGAGAGGGCGGUUCCAUACUUCUAUAGAUCAAAGGCGUACCACUGCAGAUCAUAACAGCAGAGGUCACUGUGUGUAAAACCAUGCUCUGCUCUGAAUGAGUAAAAGAGUACUUCCAUUUUGUAAUGUGAUUCUCAACAGAAGGAAUGUCAAAUACCAACGUAAAUACCUUUUUUAUUAUGUUGCUAAUGCUAACUUUGAACCUUAUCAUUUUUUACCUGAACGUUUCUUUCUUUUCACAAGGCUGUUGAGCUACAGAACAGAACAUUUUUUGUUGUUAAAAGAAAAUUGCUGCACUGCCACUGUUUAGACCUACAUUGAUAGAUUAUUCAAGCCUUACAUUUCAAAUGUUCCUGGCAAGAAAUGAUUUCAAAUAAAGUAUUUGGCAUACGUAACAAAAU